RNAcentral lists this ribosomal RNA (603 nucleotides) under uncultured bacterium. RNAcentral's name for it is "bacterial SSU rRNA". It matches the Rfam family "Bacterial small subunit ribosomal RNA", at positions 875 to 1476 of the family's 1533-position model. The record is from RNAcentral.
GGGGAGAACGCGCGCGAGGCUUAAAAUCAUAUGACAUGACGGGCGAUUGCCCAGACGGGGUAGCAUGUCGUUUAAGUUGUAGCAACGCGCAGAACCUUACCAGUCGUCGACAUGUCCGAGAAAAUGCCAGAGAUGGUUCUCUUACCUUCGGGGACUGGACCACAGGUGCAGCAUGGUUGUCGUCAGCUCUUGUCGUGAGAUGGUGGAUUAAGUCCAGCGACGAGCGCAACCCUCGACCUUAGUUGCCAUCAUUCAGUUGGGCACUUUAAGGUAACCGCCGGUGAUAAGCCGGAGGAAGGUGGGGAUGACGUCAAGUCCUCAUGGCCCUUACGCGCUGGGCUACACACGUGCUACAAUGGCGGUGACAGUGGGCAGCAAACUCGCGAGAGUGAGCUAAUCUCCAAAAGCCGUCUCAGUUCGGAUUGUUCUCUGCGACUCGAGAGCAUGAAGGCGGAAUCGCUAGUAAUCGCGGAUCAGCAUGCCGCGGUGAAUACGUUCCCAGGCCUUGUACACACCGCCCGUCACACCAUGGGAGUUGGGUUCACCCGAAGGCGUUGCGCUAACUCGUAAGAGAGGCAGGCGAUGACGGUGGUAUAGGUGGUU